This 67-nucleotide transfer RNA is filed under the name Marmota monax (woodchuck). RNAcentral describes it as "tRNA.Ala". Lineage: Eukaryota; Metazoa; Chordata; Mammalia; Rodentia; Sciuridae. The record is from RNAcentral.
GGUUGUAGCUCAGUGGUAAAGUGCUUGCCUAGCACGUGUGAAGCACUGGGUUCGAUGCUCAGAACCA